RNAcentral lists this ribosomal RNA (203 nucleotides) under Staphylococcus pseudintermedius. Its description in RNAcentral is "partial 23S ribosomal RNA". It matches the Rfam family "Bacterial large subunit ribosomal RNA", at positions 339 to 542 of the family's 2925-position model. The record is from RNAcentral. Lineage: Bacteria; Bacillati; Bacillota; Bacilli; Caryophanales; Staphylococcaceae.
AACCUGGAAAGGUUAAUCAGAGAAGGUAAUAAUCCUGUAGUCGAAAACGAAUUCUCUCUUGAGUGGAUCCUGAGUACGACGGAGCACGUGAAAUUCCGUCGGAAUCUGGGAGGACCAUCUCCUAAGGCUAAAUACUCUCUAGUGACCGAUAGUGAACCAGUACCGUGAGGGAAAGGUGAAAAGCACCCCGGAAGGGGAGUGAA